This is a long non-coding RNA of Vicia villosa (hairy vetch), 1540 nucleotides long. RefSeq lists it as uncharacterized. NCBI's taxonomy places the organism in Eukaryota, Viridiplantae, Streptophyta, Magnoliopsida, Fabales, Fabaceae. The record is from RefSeq and is a predicted model, not a curated record. The transcript has 6 exons.
CAAUAAGUGGUUGAUGCAAUCACAUGUUGACGAUGGAAUAGUCAGUGCGACCGUAGAGACGUGGCUGCAAUGAUGGAACUACACAUUCACAUUUUCCCAAUGAUGAUGGUUAGUUUUAUCUUUGAUAUUUAUCCAUUCUAAAAGGGAGACUCCAUCGGUAGGCGCCGUAGAUUUUGAUAAUCUAUUGAAAUUUGAUUAAUAAACCUUAAUCCCUAUUUUUUCAUUGUUUUCAUUGUCUCCGAUUCCUUUCUGAUUUAUGUUUUCAGAUGGCAGUGAACUAAGUAUGGAGAAAUCCACCAUAAAAGGCUAGAAAGAUAUUUAAUGUUGUAUCUGUUUAUUUCAUUUCAUCAUUCUUUUACAAAACUACUGACCUGCCAAUAUUUUUUUAGUUAUUAGAAUUUUGGUCUUCAGUUAAUUGUCCACUAUUGAUUUACUUUUCGUAUGAAGGUAAGUAUCAACAGAUGUUGAUUAAAAACGUACAUCAGAGGCUUUGGAGAGAAGAAAAUAAAAGUCAUGAAUACCAGAUGAUCAUGUCAGUAAUAUGAAAACCAUAUUAUUAGCGUGCACACAAAAAUUUGAAGAAUAUCGACCUUCCCAUCACCGAUUCACACUCUUCCCAUUCCCUGACUUUCGAACCGGAUAUCUCUUCGAUCUCUGAUCAGCCUGAUUCCGACAAGUCAUUUUACGGUCUGAACCUCCGUUCUGGGAAUUCUAACUGUAUCAGGCAACGAUAUUCUUGAAGUGAAAGAGAGUAUCAGAGAGGAGACGAGAUUGCGUGGUACACUGAUGGGGUUAAGAUUGUGAGGUACGUAAUGUUUGAGAUAUUCAUGUGGAGUCUACAUAUUAUUGCGAAUUGCAAAAUUGCAAAGGAGGAGCGCAGAGCAGCCGUUGGGUUUCGAUUGAAAAAAGGGAAAACUGGCCUUCUCAGGCUAAUUUGAACAUGAAUGAGCCAACCAUACAUGGAUUGCUGACUGGUGAAUUUGCUGACGAUUCUGACAACUGGAAAUCAGCUGUUCAAAACUAUUGGUCACUCCUUUGACCUCUAAGAUUUUCUGAUCAUCCAAAGAGGGUUGGUGAUAAGGACUUUGUCACCUUACAACAUGUUCAGAAAUAUUCUAGACAUGAAUGCUAAUUUCGGUGGCUUUAACUGUGCAUUAUUGCAAGCAAGAAAGUCUUUGUGGGUCUGAAUUUUGAAGACAGUCACAUAACUACUUGGCUUGGAAAUCUUCUUGCUGUGCCCGAUCUCCGUAAAGAGUGGCAUGAAAAUUUGAGCUCACAUGUUGGCUCACACUCACAGAAGAACAAGCUGUUGAAUGUUGCGCUUGAUAUGGCUAAGAGAGAAGCAGAAACUGUAAUUCAUGCUACACUACUAGGGGCUUGGAUGUGGUGUUUUUCCAAAGUAGAUUAACUAGAAAUGGGGGUUGGCCCUGCGGUCUAUUUCUCUGGACCUGAUACAUGAUGACUCUGACUCUGUCUUUUAUUUGUAAUUUUUUGGCAUCCCUUAUGCCUAUCUUUUAAUUCAAGUUUCUUUUCCCUUUAA